This 206-nucleotide long non-coding RNA is filed under the name Citrus sinensis (sweet orange). RNAcentral's name for it is "long non-coding RNA (CSIN_LNC003601)". The record is from RNAcentral. Lineage: Eukaryota; Viridiplantae; Streptophyta; Magnoliopsida; Sapindales; Rutaceae.
UAUAAAUAUAUACAUAAAUUGCAUAUCUGCAUCCAAAAUCUACAAAAUUUUAUCUUCUAACAAGAACAGAGUUUACAUUUCUUUUGAACAUUUAUUUACACUAAAAGCCCCUGUCACUUAGUAUAUUGUUUGUAGCAAUUAUUCAGGGUAGCAACCGUUUUCAAAUACCACUACUAAUGUUGAAGCUUGAUGAUCAUUGUAUCAUA